Cynara cardunculus var. scolymus (artichoke) is the source of this 1063-nucleotide long non-coding RNA. RefSeq lists it as uncharacterized. NCBI's taxonomy places the organism in Eukaryota, Viridiplantae, Streptophyta, Magnoliopsida, Asterales, Asteraceae. The transcript has 3 exons. The record is from RefSeq and is a predicted model, not a curated record.
UUCUUCAUCUUCUGUUAAGGCGUCUUAUCGUUGUUGUUCUUUGUUUCUCAUAUUGCUGAGGCAUUGUGUUGCUCUCUUAGGUAUCUAUUCCAGAUCUGAUUUCCUUGUGACUCUCAUGGGAAAGGAAGACUUUCCAGUUCAUCCACACCUCCCUUCUCUGAGGAACAAGUGGCUAAGCUUCUUGCCUUAUUAGAUCAAAAAAAUCCAUCUGAGACAGUGGGUACUAAAAUGGCAGGUUUGUCUAACUUUCAUAGGACUGGUUGGAUUAUUGAUUCUGGAGCUAAUCAGCAUAUGACAUCUAGUUUUUUUGAACUUAGAUAAUGUUGUUGACAUAUAUGAUUUAAAUUUAUAAAUAAAUCGCCCAAAUGGAACUGAGGCAAAAAUAAAUAACAUUGGGAAUUUAAAAUUGUCAAACAAUGUUACUUUGUUUGAUGUCUUGGUGGUUCUAGAAUUUAAUAUCAAUCUUUUCUGUAUUCAUAAACUUGCUAGAGAUAAUAAACUGUUUGUUGGGUUCGAUGAGUCUUGAUGCUAUGUUCAGGAUUCUCUUUAAUAGAAUAUAGUGGGGACUGGUAGUCAAGAAGGUGGGUCUAUAUUUUUUUGAUCAAUUUAAUAAGGAUUUUUCAUUUUAAGGAGUUGAUUAUAUUAAGUUGUUGAUCAAGAAGGAUUAAUUGGAGCUGUCAAGAUUCUAAGAGGGUAGCGGAGUUAUUAUGACUAUUAUUGAAGGGCUAAAAGAGAAACUUCUCGAUAUAUAUUCUCUUUAGCUUGACCGACGUCUAAGAAGUUUGUUUUAACAUAUCUUCUUUCAUCUUCUUUGAGAGAGUGUUUAGGGUUUCUUUUACUAUUUCAGUUCGUAUUGUAAUGAUUGAGUGUUUGAACAACCAUGCUCACAUGCCGAAUUUUGCAUUUAAGACGAUUGUUUUCUCAUCCACGAUAUAACAUUAUUUGAUAGAUAAGUUAUUUUCCUGGUUUUCGAUAUUAUCUUAAACCUCAAUUAUCUUGAUGGAAACCUAAUAUUUUUUUUCCAUCUAUCAUACUUUUUGCCCUACGAUUGGAGCAGACUUAG